RNAcentral lists this unclassified non-coding RNA (380 nucleotides) under Callithrix jacchus (white-tufted-ear marmoset). RNAcentral describes it as "external transcribed spacer". The record is from RNAcentral. Lineage: Eukaryota; Metazoa; Chordata; Mammalia; Primates; Cebidae.
CGCGUGUGCGGGGGCCCGGCGGGCGUGCCCGUCCGUCCGUCCGUCCGUCAGUCCGUCAGCCCGUCCGUCCCCCCUCGCGGCCUCGCUCCCCACGGCCCGCCGUGCGGGCCUUGGGGCUGGGGGCCCGGGGCUGCCGGCGGGGGGGGUGGCGGCCGCUCGGCUUCCGGGCCUCUCUCGCUCCCGCCCCCGCGGCCGGGGGGUGGCGGGCGUGAGGGUCCGGGCCGGGGGUCGCUCUUCCGCUCCUUCUUGGGUCGACCAGAUGUCGGCCGCGGCCGACGGACUUGGCCUCUUGCCUGCCGUAUCUGAGGUCGACCAGCAGGCCCUCUCGUCCGAAGCGAAGCGAAUCGCUUGUGCGGCCGGGCGCCGGACUGCGGCGCGCA